GACAGAGGUGCCGAGCGUUAGGCGGAAUCACUGGGCUUAAAGCGUGUGUAGGCGGAUCGUUAAGUGCCUUGUGAAAUCCCACGGCUCACCCGUGGAACUGCUGGGCAUACUGGCGGUCUUGAGCCACCUAGGGGCAACCGGAACAAACGGUGGAGCGGUGAAAUGCGUAGAUAUCACUUGGAACGCCAAUGGUGAAAACAGACUGCUGGGGGUGUGCUGACGCUGAGACACGAAAGCCAGGGGAGCAAACGGG
This 253-nucleotide ribosomal RNA is filed under the name uncultured bacterium. RNAcentral's name for it is "partial 16S ribosomal RNA". It matches the Rfam family "Bacterial small subunit ribosomal RNA", at positions 524 to 776 of the family's 1533-position model. The record is from RNAcentral.